This 200-nucleotide ribosomal RNA is filed under the name uncultured bacterium. RNAcentral's name for it is "partial 16S ribosomal RNA". It matches the Rfam family "Bacterial small subunit ribosomal RNA", at positions 8 to 218 of the family's 1533-position model. The record is from RNAcentral.
AGAGUUUGAUCCUGGCUCAGGAUGAAUGCUGGCGGCGUGCCUAACACAUGCAAGUCGAGCGGCAGCGCGUCUAGUUUACUAGAUGGCGGCGAGCGGCGGACGGCUGAGUAACGCGUGGGAACGUGCCCCAAAGUGAGGAAUAACUGCCCGAAAGGGUAGCUAAUACCGCAUAUGAUCUUCGGAUUAAAGGAUUUAUCCGC